CGAUACUCAUAGCUACGUCUCUAUUUAAAAAUCUGAUCACAGUUUCUUUGGAGAAAAAAUUUAAAAAUUCCUUUUAUACAAGAAAAGUCAUUAGUUAUGUAUUUUUUAUAUAAAAUUGUUUUUAUUAUUAGAUUUGACAGAUUAGAAAUAGUUAAAUUUCAAAAAUGAAAGGCUCAGGACUGUAAUUAGAGUAGCCGCCAUAUUUAACAAGAUGGUGGAUCAAAAUAGAAAAAUUUUCACAAAUGUCUUCAGCGAUCCCUUUAAAUGCAAUUUGAUUUGAUCCGAAUGAGACAGGUGAAUUAUAAAAAAUUGUUAUACACUAAUUUGAAUGGAUAUCAUAUUUUUUUAAAAUGAUGGACAUAAAUAAAAAAUUUCCUUUUUUUUCAAAAAUUAUUAAUGUAACGUAUAUCUACAAGAAUGCAAUUUCAUAAGCCUUCUUCCAUUCUGACAAUAAGUUAAGAACUAUCUACUCUAUUUUUAUAAAAAAAGUAUCUUCAAAGUAAUAGCGCGGUUAAAAUGCAUUUAAGAAGCUUCACUUUAAAGUUAAAUUAAAUGAAAGCAUUUUGCUGCUAGAAAUCACUAGCAUAUUAUACAUGUGGCCGAACUCAGCAUUAGAAAAGUGAAAUUUCAGAGAUGCUAGAGAGGAAAAUUCACUUCAUGUCUUAUGAAUAUGGUAGGAUAAGAAGAACAUCUCUCCGAAAUCACGAAAUUUUAAUCUCGCUUUACAAUAGUGACUUUUACGUACACUUCAGAAAUUUUGUUACCAAGUACUUUAUUUUUGUUUGGAGCUCAUUUUAUGAAUUGUUUCAAAAGUAUUUAAUUAAAUACAAUAGUAUCUUAUAAAAAUUGGCUUUGACAAUGCAAAUUAUGAAAACACGCAAAUUUUAAUGGAUGAUAUAAUUUAUUUAUUUUACAUAUAUUGUAUAUCUAUCCGUAAACAAACA
RNAcentral lists this long non-coding RNA (944 nucleotides) under Androctonus crassicauda. Lineage: Eukaryota; Metazoa; Arthropoda; Arachnida; Scorpiones; Buthidae. The record is from RNAcentral.